UCAUUUUUUAAAAUAGAAGAAAUUAAACAUUUUUCCACAUACCAUCCUUAGGGAACAAGGCAUAUCAUAAGAUAUGACAAAUAAGCUUCUAGGAAAAGUCUUCAUUUGUUCUUUCCAGAAAAUGUGAAUUUGCUAAUUUGGUGACAAAUAUAUGUAUACAUAUUAUAUGUAAUAAAAUUAUACUGAAAAUAAAAUCAAUGAAAUAUUGAAAUUUUAAGUGCAAAGCAUCUGGUUAAAACUGCCUACUCUUGCUUAUAUAUCCUUUUUUAUUUGCUAUUUAUAUUAGCAAAAUGAACUUAACAUAAUGCCUCAAAUAGUUAAUGAAUAUAAAGCUUUAAAACAGUAAAUAUGUAUUGUACAUGAUCUUUUGGAAUCUGAUUUCAGGUACAACUAAUUUGACAGGCAGUAUGAUAAGGAACAAUCUGAAUGACACGUAAACAGGAGGGGGUAAAUUCCAAGCACAGCCUGAAUGAGAAGUACAACUCAUUUCCUGUAACCUAGAUGCCUUUUUAACACAUCUAUGCAGUCUCCAUGUGAAACCAGGUGCUGUUCCCAAAGGAGAAAACACUGCCCUCCAGUGGUCUUCAAUGAAGAAAUGGAAAUAGUUUCAGGUGGAAACCAGGCUUCUUGGAAGACUUCAAACUAUGCCAAAUGGUCUGAUUUCACCAUAGAGAUUCUUUGCUGAAGAAUGCAGCUGUAUUAAAGGAAGAAAGAAAACCAAGCUACAGCUCCUUAUAAUUCAACAAGCAUUUAAAAGAUUUAUAAAGAUGGUGCAAUUAUGUAUUUAAGCUGCUUCAACACAAGUUCUUGCCUUUCACUCCCACCCUGUGGCUUACACUGGUAUUACAUCUAUUCUGACAUUUAAAAAUCAACAUUAAAGAACAUAUUGUAAUAAUGUAUUCUAUGGUUUAAAUAUUUAAAAAAUUUUACAUCAUACCUAGAAAGUGUUGUGUACUUUCUAAAGCUUAUAAACUGAAAAGGAUUUGAAGAAUCCUAAUACAGAAUCAUAAGUUAUAAUUCAUCCAAAAUUGUAUAGUUCUUAAAUUUCAAAUCCAAACCAGUGGAUAUCUGUCUUUAGUGACAUUUAGAUUUUAUUCAAUUAAGGUCAUUGUAGCUAUUAUAAAUGGAAGAUUUUACUUCAUUGUGUCUUAUCACUGAAGUACUUCACUCUUGCUUUUCAAAAGAUUUCUUUCAAUUUCUUCAGAGUCUUAUUUGUUCUCUAAGACAAAGACUUGAUUUCAGUUUGUUUUUCUUAAAAUUAAUAUCUUCUCCAAUUUAUUUCCCAGUUUUUUCUAAAUAAAUACUUUAAAUAUAUAGAGUAUUAUUUUUAUAGUAUCUCAGAAUUAGUAAAAUAAAAUCUUGCCAAUACAAACAAUUUGUGAUUUUAUACAUUAUAUUGUCAGACUGAAG
Molecule: long non-coding RNA, 1410 nt
Filed under: Homo sapiens (human)
Lineage: Eukaryota; Metazoa; Chordata; Mammalia; Primates; Hominidae
Description: HSALNT0042197
Source: RNAcentral